AAUAUAAUGCUUCAUCGCGAUUUUAAUCCCGACAUAUCGUCACCCCGCCAGCUAAUCGACCUCGUUCUUAAUUUGACAUUAAUCUCUGAACCGGUACUGUUUAUAAUAAUUAAUAUUCGGGAGUCCAAUUGUCGCUCGCGGCGUACCUUCUCUUUGAGCGAUCGUAAUGUUUCGGCCGUUCCUGACGCUCCGUGGAUAAUCUUUUUACUGGUUACGAUUUCUCUGGUAUAAAGUAAAUAACGUCUCGUCAGGAGAAACGUAUCAUAUACGUUCGCGAUACAUUGGACAUCGCAAGUCGCAAGUAAUCAAAAAUUAAAUAAUAGCUAGAUUUGAAAUUAAAGAUCUCGCAGCCACUUCAGCACAAUCAAAUGGGACUUGCAGAAAUUACCUCCUUUUUAAUAAUUAAUCAAUCGCGCAAACGACGCAAAUCUCGAUUUUUUUGCUCCAGUUUUUUUUUUGCAAAAAAAACAAUGGCUGUGUUGGUUCAAAAUCAAAGUUUGCACAACCAUAAAAUCAGGAAUACAUCAAAUAAUUCGCACAUAAGUCGCACUUCGAAAAUACAUUUUUUUUUUAAUUUCCUGCUUUUUUAUUGCAGCUGAAGUAGCGACGAUACAAUCGCCACAAUAUAAAUAAAAUAUGUUUAUAUGUAAUUAUAAUAAAACUGUGUAUUUAUUUAUUAGAAAUAAA
This is a long non-coding RNA of Wasmannia auropunctata (little fire ant), 687 nucleotides long. RefSeq lists it as uncharacterized. NCBI's taxonomy places the organism in Eukaryota, Metazoa, Arthropoda, Insecta, Hymenoptera, Formicidae. The record is from RefSeq and is a predicted model, not a curated record. The transcript has 3 exons.